Molecule: long non-coding RNA, 3166 nt
Filed under: Marmota monax (woodchuck)
Lineage: Eukaryota; Metazoa; Chordata; Mammalia; Rodentia; Sciuridae
Source: RNAcentral
CUAGGCUCUAACGCAAAAGCACACAGGGAACCAUCAGUACCUUUUUGGAGUGUAUGGGUUUUGUUUUUAUAUGUAAAAUUUCCCCUGUGGGGUACUGUCCAGCUGGCUCGGCAUGGGUUUGAACCCUCUCUUUGUCACUUGUUAGCUGUGUGACCUUGAGUGGAGUUUGACCUCUGAACUUCAGCACCCUUAGUUUUCCAAUGCGCAUGAACAGAACCAUUCAGGGGGCUGCUUCAAAGGCCCAAGGAGAUCACUCUGUACAGGCCUAGUAUGGUCCCUGGUGUGGAGUAAACUCUAGUGAGGUUUUUUGGUCUUUUUGGUUUUUGUUUUUUGCAUUAAUAAUGACAUUGCACUGUAAGCAUGAUAUUUUCCAAUAUUAGAAAUGAGUGUCCCAAACUCAGAAACAUUGAAUUGUUUACUUAGAGUCACAGGCAUGGGAUCAAACAUGAGCCCUCCGUUCCCCAGUCUGAUGUUCGUUCCUUGUUGCCUGAAAUGUGCAAAUUAUUUUACAGAGAAGAGGGGGACAGAAAAUUGCUUCGAUUCCUGACUUCACCUUAACAGCCUCCACCCUGCAGGAGAGCUCGCUGUAAUAAAGGCCUGGUGUCUUGAGUUUGGUUUUGAUCCAUUUUUAAAAUCCUCUUUCCCCCUUAGCUCUUCUUUGAAACUGGCUUCCUGCCACUUUGCACAGAAAGUCCUGCUCUCACUCUCUCUCUCUUUCUCUCAGUGCAAAAAACAAACAAAGCACAGGCCUUUGAAAUGCUGUUUUGGCCCCUUAAGAGCUAACAUUUGUCAGUUGUAAUUAUCACUCUCCAGGCCUUCUCCAGUUGAGAAUUAAUCAGGGUCCUCAAAUCCCUGCACAUCUGUAGCUGAUCCACAAACAACUGUCCCAUCCAUGUUCCACCUUCACAGGGGAUAACUGUAGGAAAAGCAUAAAUACCAUCUACUUCUGCACUUGAAAGGAGCAAUUCAGAAUGAACUUCCUUUGCACUCAUUAUCUCCUUUGGAAAUGCAUCCCAAGCACCAGGGGAGCUCCCCCCACCAAGGCUGCACAGAGCCACAGAAAAAGCAGGGACCUGGGAGUCCAGAGGCCCAUAUUCAAGAACACACACCUCUGUCGGGCAUUCAGGCAAAACUUUUAACCCCUCUGGCCUCGUUUGUGCAUCCUGCAAUGAAAGGCAUGGAAAAGUGAUCUCUUAAGUCUCCUUGGGAGUACACAUGACUCCUAGAAUAUAAGUCCUCCCAACUGUGGGCCUGUGAGACUGAGGAGACCCGCUGGCUUCAUGUACCCCACACAACCUGGCGAGGCGGGCACCGACCGGGUAGCUGCCGUGUUCUUUGCCUUUUUUCUCCCUAGAUUUUUAACAAGUAUUUUGAUUUUUUAUUUCACCAAUUCAUUCAUUCAACAAAUAUUUAUUAGGUAUUUACUAUCUAUUCCUCACUUUUUUUUUUGCAUUCCAAUUUUACCAAUAAGAAAUCUGAGAAUUUAGGCAAACUCUUAAUGUCUGGGUUCACUGGACUGUCCCCUCUGAGUGAAAGGAUCCCUGGGGCUCUCCAUCCAUAAGACAUUCGAACCACAUUAGCAGUGAGCUUUGAGUGGGUUUGGCUAUUUAGCUCAUCAAGUGAAAGAGUGAUUAUUUGAAAUCUUUAAUGUGGCAGAGUGUCUAAGAAUAAUUCAAGCCAAUAAGAGGGUUAGAGUGUUGCUAGACAUGGUCAUUUCUAAUAAGACCCUCCCACUGAAGCCAAAGCCCAGCUCCAGACAGCAUGUUGGGAUCAAGGCAGGUAGAUCUGAAACACACCUGAUGAUACUAAGGACCAGCUGUGUUUCUCUUAUGUGGCUACACAUUGCAGCACAUUUGAAUUUGUGAAACACCAAAAGGUGUUUAAAAGGUUAAAGAGGCUUAGAGCAUACUCCUCAGAAAUUAUAACUCAGCUGAUCUGGAGGGAGUCUCAGACAUCAGUAUCUUAGCCCUCAGGUGGCCCCACGGGCAUAGGGUUGGGGGCUACUGGUGGACCCAGAAUGGCGGACACCUAGAAGUCAUCAUGGCACGCAUGCCUCCAAAGCCCCCAACAGACAUGACUGCUCAGUCAGUCCCCCGGCUCCCACCUGGACGGCAGCCUGUGAGUCUUCUCAUCACUGGACCCCAGGCAAGCACUACAGUGAAGCCACAUGGUCACACGAGCUGGACAUCCCUGUUGUUUCCAACAGCCCACUUUGGGCAUGAUUUUCCUACUUUAGGGCGUGCAAGGUAGGACGCCCCCAUGCUGAGAAGACCUCACCUGGCAGAGACAAGUGAGGGCCCAUGACCCGCGUGUUGUUAAAGGUCCAUCCGAAGAGCACAGCAGGGCCAAGGGAGAGAGAACUUGCAGCCAGGUCUGGCAGUAGAUGGCUUCAGAACCGCAGGGUGCUCAGCCAGGAAAGGGCCUGAGGGCCUCAGGUGUGCAAGAGUCCACCCAGGUCUCUCUAAGGAGUUUCCACGGGGAAAGCUCUCUUCAAAUCCCACGGCUGUCACUAGAAGAAGCAGGACCUGGCACAGAGGAGUACUGUACCCCCUGAGCCUCUGCCCCUCAACAUUUUUAGAAUGAGGACAAUGGUGCUUCCUUAACCUAGUGUUUGUAUGAGAAGCCAGACAAACACCACACGGAGUCUGUGGCCAGCAAAUGUUGGCUACCAUUCACCUUGAUUCUGUCACUGUUGGAGUGCUGGCUGCAGUUCCCUGACAGCUUUGAGGGUCUGGAUGCUCCUAGAGGGGCGUAGUAAAUAGUGUUCUCAGUGUUUCCCCCUGGGCCCAGCAUUGUGUCAAUAUCCUGCAGAUGGGACCCAUGUGUCACCAGGCCCAUACCAGGAAUGUUAAAAUUGUGUCUCAUUAACAGGGUUAAAGCAGAAGUCCAAUGACCCUGGCCCCUGCUUGUGAGUGGAUGUACUCAGGGUCCUUUCAUGUCCUUCCCCCCAAACCAGCACGGAGACCUCGCAGGGCCCACACGGGCUUGAGACGGCUCUCUUCACUGGGCCCACAUGUCAGUCAUUUCCUCGUUAUCAAGCUCACCACCUUCUCUGGUUUCCUGGGCAGCCGUUCUACCCUCCUCCUAGAUCUUGGCCCUGUGCUCUUGUCCCCCAGAGCUCCCUAAAAUGAAGCACAGAACACUACACAGAACAGAGAGGUCCUGC